RNAcentral lists this unclassified non-coding RNA (828 nucleotides) under Hevea brasiliensis (rubber tree). The record is from RNAcentral. Lineage: Eukaryota; Viridiplantae; Streptophyta; Magnoliopsida; Malpighiales; Euphorbiaceae.
GUAGGUUUUACCAAACCUUAGGGAAUAAAUUAUAGUUUAUACAAAAUAAUAUUUUGUUGAUUUUAAACCUAAAAGAAAAAUAGAAGAAGCCAAUACAUAAAAAGAAAGGAUAAGUGUAAUUUUUUAAAAGUUUUAGGACUAAAAUAUUUAUAAAAAAAAAAGGGUAAAAUCUUUAGGACUGAAAUAUUACUUAUAUCAGUCAUUGCGUGUACAACCUGUGUACCUUUCCAUGAUAACCUGUGUACCUUUCCAUGAUAAGGAUAACAUUUGACCCUACCAUUCAUAUGAAAUUGAAAUCAAACUUUUAUGAAUCAGCUUGUUAUAUUUUGCAAUUAGCAUAAGCAGAAUAACUAGUAUUGUUAAUGUUUUAUCAUUUUGUUUUUCCCAUGCAAUAGAUAUGAUCUGUAAGAACUACACUGUGAAGGCAAAAUUCCCAGAUUCACUUAGUGCAGUAUGAUGGAUGCUGCCUAAUUAUUUCACUUGCUUGCUAUUACUACUGUCAGCCACUAGCUAAACAAGACUUCAUAUGCUAUGUACAAUAGAAACUAGAUGCAAUAUUGCCAUGACUAAUCAGUUCGUUCCUUGGAUCUACUUUAUUGAAAUUUAAAACAAACGACAUUUAAUCAGUAAUGGAGGGAUUACUGUCUCUCUUGGUUCUCUGAAUGUUUGUUUACAUUGCGAAACUGGAGUGCUUAUUAAAGUAGAUCUAAUGACUUUAAGUCCUUUUAGAGAAUUAGGAUAUAGAAAGAUGAAUGCUUUAUAAGAAAUGGGAUCAAUCUUGGGGAACAAAGUGACUUGCAUUUCUAAACUGAGCCAUAAAUUUCUUCU